Molecule: ribosomal RNA, 478 nt
Filed under: uncultured bacterium
Lineage: Bacteria
Description: partial 16S ribosomal RNA
Rfam family: Bacterial small subunit ribosomal RNA
Source: RNAcentral
GAUGAACGCUGGCGGCGUGCUUAACACAUGCAAGUCGAACGGGAAAUACUUCAUUAGGACUUCGGUGGUUUUGAUUUAUUUCUAGUGGCGGACGGGUGUGUAACACGUUGGUAACCUGCCUUAUUCAGGGGGAUAACAGUCAGAAAUGGCUGCUAAUACCGCCUAAGCGCACGGCGGUGCAUGGCUCGGUGUUAAAAACUCCGGUGGUCUAGGAUGGACCCGCGUUGGAUUAGCUAGUUGGUGGGGUAACGGCCCACCAAGGCGACGAUCCAUAGCUGGCCUGAGAGGGUGAACGGCCACAUUGGGACUGAGACACGGCCCAGACUCCUACGGGAGGCAGCAGUGGGGAAUAUUGCACAAUGGGGGAAACCCUGAUGCAGCGACGCCGCGUGAAGGAAGAAGUAUCUCGGUAUGUAAACUUCUAUCAGCAGGGAAGAUAGUGACGGUACCUGACGAAGAAGCCCCGGCUAACUACGUG